CGUGCAUGGGCCUUUGAAACACAAAUUAAAAGACUACUGGCUGUAAAGCUGUUUCUCUUCCUUCUUCCCAAGUGGAUUAGGUUUAUAAAGGAUGUAUGGAGUGCUUUUUCUGGCUGGCCCCACACCUGCUGUUCCCACACAGUAGCUGGAGGACAUUGUCAGAGGCUCAGGGAGUGAUGAUGGCCUGGCUUCCAGAAAGACAGUUGAAAACUCAGCUCCAAGGAUCUGGGAGAAAUUUCCCUAAUCCCACUUUUACCGUCAUAUAUGUCUGACCUCGGCACGGGACUUUUCCUCGGAGAGCCUGUAUUGUCUUAGAGCAGUGGUGAGGAAGAGGAGAAAUAAGAAGACACUUGGUAAAGUGCUUGAUACAUAGCACAGGCUCAAAAACUGAAAAAUGCUUACAGCACAAGUAUCCAGGGAGGCUGUCCUUUUCAACUGCAUUGAAUAACCACCGAGAACAGCCCAAAGGUGGACAAUGGGGAAUGUGCAAGUAAAAUAGGAUCUACGUACAGAAUGGGUCACCACCAUGUCACAGUUGGAAGGAAUAAACUGGGUCUAUAGGCAGGGACCUGGAGCUCAAAAUACAUUAAGUAAAGGCAGACAGUUAUGGAAUAAUGCAUACAGCACAGUACAAUUUUUGCAGCACAUCAAACAGAAUUGUGGAUUUUCUAUUGUUAUGUUCAAUCGUUUGUGAAACUAUCUUUGAAAAAAAAGAAUGGGAGAGACACACUACUAACUCAUAAGAGUGGCUGUGUCUGGGGAGAGGAGCAAGGAGUUGUGAUAGCAAAUAAAGGACAUAAGAAACUCCAGCUUUUUUUUCUAAUUUUUUUUGGUACCAGGGAUCGAACUCAGGACCUUGUGCUUGCAAGGCAGGCGGCGGCACCACUGAGCUAAAUCCUCGGCCCUGUGGGUUCAAUCUUUAGGGCUGAAAUAAAGAAAUGCUGAAAACAAAUACAGUUUUGGGGUUUUUUUGUGAAUGAAUACUGGGGAUCCAACUAGGGCCUAUGUGUGCUAAGCAUGUGUUCUACCACUGAACUAUUUCCCCAGCUGUCUUGUUCUAGUUUUUAAACAUACAGGGAAGGGAGGCAAGAGUGACUCUGUGACCCAUCAAGUCCCUCAGCUCAAAGACCCUCUGACCAUCCAUGUAUUUAUUGUAGGCAGUAGUCCUUAAGGACCUAGUACCCCCCUACUCCAAAGGGCUUACAAGGGGCUUGGGGCACCUGCUUCAGCUCCCUCCCCAGUGUCAAGUUCUUCCCCAGCGUCAAGUUUAAUCUCAACCCCUUCCAC
This 1287-nucleotide long non-coding RNA is filed under the name Heterocephalus glaber (naked mole-rat). Its description in RNAcentral is "lncRNA (ENSHGLG00100037335.1)". The record is from RNAcentral. Lineage: Eukaryota; Metazoa; Chordata; Mammalia; Rodentia; Bathyergidae.